RNAcentral lists this long non-coding RNA (1238 nucleotides) under Homo sapiens (human). RNAcentral's name for it is "HSALNT0086299". Lineage: Eukaryota; Metazoa; Chordata; Mammalia; Primates; Hominidae. The record is from RNAcentral.
AUCUCAAUAAGGCUAUAAGAAGAAGAAGAAGGAGGAGGACGAGGGGGAGAAGAAGAAGAAGGAGAAGGAGAAGGGAGGAGGAGGAAGAGGAAGAGGAGGAGGAAAAGGAAGAGGCAGAAGAAAAGAAGACGAAGAGGAAGAAGAAGGAAGAAGAAGAAAGAAGAAGGAGAAGAAGGAGAAGGAGAAAAAGAAAGAAGAAGAAGAAGAAGAAAAGAAGAAGAAGAAGGAGAAGGAGAAGGAGAAGAAGAAGAAGAAAAAGAGAUUCUCAGAAGUGACAAUAACCCAUUGCUUGAAACCAGCAGAUGCAGAAGGAGAGAAUGUGUGGAGGAUUAUGUAGAAGGAUUUCACGAGCCUGGCCUGGAGAGGACACAUCACUUCCAACUCCAUUCCAUUACCAGAGCUUAGUCUAUUUCCAGAAGAUUAUAAGCUUCAUGGGGGUAGAUGCUUUACUUCAUUCAUCACUGCAUCUCCAACGCCUAGCACAGAGUCCUGAAUUACAGGCUCAAUAACUAUUUACUGAAUGUGAAAACAGAGCUGCUUGAAGAUAUAUGAGGCUAAUUGAGGUGACAAUAUCACAUAACUUUUAUCUGAGAUUGCAAAUAAAUUGUUAUACAUAUUCCAGAUAAUAUUUUUCACCUGUUUUACUUCAAUUUUUAUAAAAUCCAGAAUUCCUUUCAAUGCCAACCAAAACCACUACGCCAUUUGUGUACUACGAAAAAGCAGUGCCUACACUGUUGUAAAUGCUUUUCCAUGAAUUACUUUGGAUAGCUAAAGACUGUGACUUUGAAGCUCGUAGUGAUUCAUUAUUAUUGUGAAUUGCACAGGUGAGAAGGGACAUAGAGGUUGCUGAACCUCUCUUUACCCAAACCCUCCUAGACUGGUGCAAAUUUGUUCAAUUUCUAACAUCUUCCUAGAAGAACGUUUCACACUCAGCUUUUGGAACCACUUCCAAUGUAUACCAUAUGUCAGCGUUGUUGGGAUUUUCUUCCUUUUAAUUUAAAUGCUUGUACUUAGGUCUGUUUCUUCUUGUUGUUAAGUGAAAAUAGUAAAAGACUGUCAUCUUUUGGGUGGUGAAAAUUCAUCAAAGCCAAGAAAACCAUCUUUUAAUAAUCACCAGUUCUCAUUGUUCUAUGUUCAUGUGGUUUUGAGAUGUUUUAGACCCAUCUCCAAAAAUACCUGCACCCCAGGCAAAACUGGUAGCAAAACAGCAACCCGGACGUUGGUGUGCAUGUUAAAAC